Molecule: ribosomal RNA, 262 nt
Filed under: uncultured bacterium
Lineage: Bacteria
Description: partial 16S ribosomal RNA
Rfam family: Bacterial small subunit ribosomal RNA
Source: RNAcentral
UUGCGCCUACGGGGGGCAGCAGUAGGGAAUUUUCGUCAAUGGGCGCAAGCCUGAACGAGCAAUGCCGCGUGAACGAAGAAGGGUUUCGGCUCGUAAAGCUCUGUUGUUGGAGAAGGACGUGCGUGAGAGUAACUGUUCACGCAGUGACGGUAUCCAACCAGAAAGUCACGGCUAACUACGUGCCAGCAGCCGCGGUAAUACGUAGGUGGCAAGCGUUAUCCGGAUUUAUUGGGCGUAAAGCGAGCGCAGGCGGUUGCCUAUG